CAAUGGAAUGAUGAUAACAGUUGUUCGGAAAAUAUUAUGUCGACCAAAACUCAGACUACAAUUAUCUGACCUUUU
Small nucleolar RNA from Raphanus sativus (radish), 75 nucleotides. RefSeq annotates it as small nucleolar RNA Z155. NCBI's taxonomy places the organism in Eukaryota, Viridiplantae, Streptophyta, Magnoliopsida, Brassicales, Brassicaceae. The record is from RefSeq and is a predicted model, not a curated record. The transcript has a single exon.